Molecule: RNA transcript, 2948 nt
Organism: Balaenoptera musculus (blue whale)
Lineage: Eukaryota; Metazoa; Chordata; Mammalia; Artiodactyla; Balaenopteridae
Gene: PRKAB1
Gene name: protein kinase AMP-activated non-catalytic subunit beta 1
Exons: 8
Source: RefSeq, a predicted model, not a curated record
CGCGCUUCUCCCACCACAGCCACUCCCAACCCUGUGGGUCGGGUCGCUUUGCGCGAGUGCCGGAAGCGGAAGUUGCGAAGACGUGGGGGAGUUCUUGGGGGAGAGUCGAGUUAUCCUAGCGUUCGGUGUGUUCGCUCUGCGGCAGCCUGAGCAUCAGGUAAAGCGCAGUUGUGAGACUUCGGCAGCCCUGCUCCCUGGCUCAAGCCGGAUCCCGACCCCGAACCCUAGCCUGAGGGGUGUGGUGCUCGGUGCUCCGACUCUUUCCUAGGGUCCUGGUGGAGGUACCGGGAGUCACUUGUCCUUCCCUUGGAGUGAGGCCCCCCGUCCGGCUUCCCGGUGUCCCCGUAGACCUCCGCCAUGGGCAACACGAGCAGCGAGCGCGCUGCGCUGGACCGGCAGGGCGGCCACAAGACGCCCCGAGGGGACAGCUCGGGGGGCUCCAAGGAUGGGGACAGGCCCAAGAUCCUGAUGGACAGCCCCGAGGACGCUGACCUCUUCCACUCCGAGGAAAUCAAGGCUCCGGAGAAGGAGGAGUUCCUGGCCUGGCAGCACGAUGUGGAAGUGAACGACAAAGCUCCUGCCCAGGCUCGGCCAACCGUGUUUCGAUGGACGGGGGGCGGAAAGGAAGUUUACUUAUCUGGGUCCUUCAACAAUUGGAGUAAACUGCCCCUCACAAGAAGCCACAAUAACUUCGUAGCCAUCCUGGACCUGCCCGAAGGAGAGCAUCAGUACAAGUUCUUCGUGGAUGGUCAGUGGACACACGACCCUUCUGAGCCGAUAGUGACCAGCCAGCUUGGCACAGUAAACAACGUCAUUCAAGUGAAGAAAACUGACUUUGAAGUAUUUGAUGCUUUGAUGGUGGAUUCUCAAAAGUGCUCCGAUGUGUCUGAGCUGUCCAGUUCCCCCCCAGGACCCUACCACCAGGAGCCCUACGUCUGGAAGCCAGAGGAGCGGUUUAAAGCACCACCCAUCCUCCCGCCGCAUCUUCUCCAGGUCAUCCUGAACAAGGACACGGGGAUUUCCUGCGAUCCAGCUUUGCUCCCUGAGCCCAACCACGUCAUGCUGAACCACCUCUAUGCACUUUCCAUCAAGCAACACAAAAGGAAGUCCCCCGUGGUCCAGAAGACUGCUAACAGACCCAGGUGAAAGUCUUUAUACCCAAGAAGCUAAAAGUAAUGGAGAUUAUUUCAUGGAUAUGGAACAGGAGACCCUGUUUGGUCCAAAUCACAGAAGCAAAGCCACACUGAGGUGUCCUAUGACCCAGCUCAAAAUGUGGAAAUUCCAACAACCCACGCUCAGAAAGCCAGAACUUUCUUGUGUGUGCAGCAGUAAAAUUUGAGAUAAACCUUGAUUUCAAGAGGUCGAAAUCUGAGCUAUCUUCAUCUCUUGUCAUGUGGCUUUGUGAUACAGAAGACAAAAAAAGAAAUUUCAAGUAAGAGUAUCAUGUUAAGCCGAUUUGUAAUGGAAGAGAAAUUAUAAAGCGUGUCAGGGGCCCAUCGUAAAGCAAGCUCACUGCCCAGAGGAAGAAAAGUGACUCAAGGAAGGCCAUUCGAGAAGUCAGCUUAGGUUGACGGGAUAAAGGAAAACUCGUCAUUCUGGGCAGAGCGGGCCAUUUUCCAUCUCCAAAUCCCUUAAUAACCAAUGCUCUACCACAUCAAUUUUAUGUUUGUUUCUUGCAGAGAGUUACAUUUCCUGCUCUGCUAAACAAACAGACCGGGGCAGUGCAGCCUGCAGUGAAUCACAUUCUCCCAAGCUGGCCUUCUACAUUCUGGACCUGCCCAAAGCAGACAGCAACAAAAAGUUGCGGUUUUAUAAGCCAAGAGACAACUAAAGGAAACUGCUGGUUUUCCAGACAUGCCUGGCAUCAGCAGGAAAACAACAGCAUUAUUUCUGCCCCUUGUUCACAGGAACUAGAACCAUUUUCCACGACAGAAUAAGUUAACUCCUUACAGAGACACCAUAUCAUCUCAAAAGGAAGAUGCCUGGCCAUCUAACUAGUGAGGCAGUGGAGAAAAGAAAGAAAAAAAUCUAAUUACAGUACUUGGGCUGGUUCUUGGCAUGACUGACUUGGAAACUAAAUAAAAUCUAGACAUUGUCAGGAGAGGACUACAGCCCUUUGAGCAGUCACUCCUGAGGCAGGAUCAAGCCAAAAAGUGAGAAGCAGCUGGUUCUUCAGCACUUCUGGUUUUCCAGCAAGUUCCUGGGACUAAAAUCACACUGACCAAACAUUUCUGACCAACACUUACAUUUCAACAAAAGAAACAGACACUAUUCGUUAGGACAUAGUCUCAGAACAUUAAAUUGACAACUCUCUUUUCUAAGAUCUAAGCAGCAUUUCAUAACAUUAGAGGUGGUUCCUUUACCAAACUGAGUCCCUUGAGAAUAAAAACCAUCUUGUAGCCCCAGACAUUGUGUCUGGCACAUGGUAGGGGGUCCACAUAACUAUUUAUAGGGUAGACAUGUGGGGUUUGUAAACCAGUCCACAAAAUUAAAACCCUAGGUCAAUUAAAUAAUAUUCCCCUGGGUUAAAUAAGCUUAUCUCCUUUGUGGACCAGGAUCUUAAAAUUACACAUCUCAGACCUACACAUCUAACCGAAUCUGGCUCCGGGCCCUGGGUGUCAAGACAAAGCCAGUCCCACUUCCACACACUGCUGGUGGGAUAACUAAAGGGUACAGCCUCUAGGGAGGAAAACUCACCAACAUCUAUCAAAAUCACCAACGCCCAUCAAUUCCUUUUCUAGGAAUUCAUCCUCCAGAUAGAUUCCUAAGCAUGCAAAAUGAAUGUACAAAGUCAUUUACUACAGCAACAGACUGGAAACAACCCAAACAUCCACUGAUAAAGGAGCAGUUAAAUAAGGUAUAGUCAUGUGAACGAAUGCUAUGCAGGUGUUUAAAAAAAAAAAAAAAUGAAUACUUUGGAUACUGACAUGGAGCAAUCUCUAAGACAC